Callithrix jacchus (white-tufted-ear marmoset) is the source of this 287-nucleotide unclassified non-coding RNA. It matches the Rfam family "Metazoan signal recognition particle RNA". From Rfam's summary of the family: The signal recognition particle (SRP) is a universally conserved ribonucleoprotein. It is involved in the co-translational targeting of proteins to membranes. Lineage: Eukaryota; Metazoa; Chordata; Mammalia; Primates; Cebidae. The record is from Ensembl.
GCUGGGCGCGGUGUAGUCCCAGCUACUUGGAAGGCUGAGGCUGGAGGAUCACUUGAGCCCAGGAGUUCUGGGCUGUAGUGUGCUAUGCCGAUCGGGUGUCCGCACUAAGUUUGGCAACAAUAUGGUGACCUCCUGGGAGCUGGGGACCACCAGGUUGCCUAAGGAGGGGUGAACCGGCCCAGGUCAGAAAUGGAGCAGGUCAAAACCCCUGUGCUGAUUAGUAAUGGGAUCGCGCCUGUGAAUAGCCACUGCACUCCAGCCUGGGCAAUAUAGCGAGACCGUCUCUU